GAACGCAUCUUGCGCCCCGUGGCAUUCCGCGGGGCAUGUCUGUUUGAGUGUCGUUUGACCUCUCAACCGCUUUGGUAUUCGAUUACAAAAGCCGGCUUGGAACUUGGGUGCCUCUGGCGAAACGCAAAAAGGGCCUCGGCCCUGUCGCCCACCCCAAAGUCAGUUGGGCCAACCGCGCGGAUGAGCGGACGGUUUGACCACAGUGUUGUAAGGUUCGCCUCACUGUCGGGACGUCCAUUUCCGUUAGCACGAAGGCAUCUGAAAUACGAUACUAUUGAUUUUGACCUCAAAUCAGACAGGAUUACCCGCUGAACUUAAG
This 319-nucleotide unclassified non-coding RNA is filed under the name uncultured fungus. RNAcentral's name for it is "sequence contains 5.8S rRNA gene". The stretch from base 1 to 53 matches the Rfam family "5.8S ribosomal RNA", at positions 102 to 154 of the family's 154-position model. The record is from RNAcentral. Lineage: Eukaryota; Fungi.